Molecule: ribosomal RNA, 364 nt
Filed under: uncultured bacterium
Lineage: Bacteria
Description: bacterial SSU rRNA
Rfam family: Archaeal small subunit ribosomal RNA
Source: RNAcentral
CGGGCCGCAGCAGGCGCGAAACCUUUACACUGCACGCAAGUGCGAUAAGGGGACCCCAAGUGCGAGGGCAUAUAGUCCUCGCUUUUCUCGACCGUAAGGCGGUCGAGGAAUAAGAGCUGGGCAAGACCGGUGCCAGCCGCCGCGGUAAUACCGGCAGCUCAAGUGAUGACCGAUAUUAUUGGGCCUAAAGCGUCCGUAGCCGGCCACGAAGGUUCAUCGGGAAAUCCGCCAGCUCAACUGGCGGGCGUCCGGUGAAAACCACGUGGCUUGGGACCGGAAGGCUCGAGGGGUACGUCCGGGGUAGGAGUGAAAUCCCGUAAUCCUGGACGGACCACCGAUGGCGAAAGCACCUCGAGAAGACGGA